CCUAAACUUCUGUUUAUCUGGAAAUGUCCUAAUUUCACCUUCAUAUUUGAGAGACAGUUUUGCUGGAUACAUGAUUCUUGGCUGGCAAUUUUUUUCCUUCAGUUCUUUAUAGAAGUCAUCCCAUUGCCUUCUUGCCUGCAUGGUUUCUGCCAAGCAGCCUGAGUUAUUCUUAUUGCCUGUCCUUUGUAAGUGACUUUUCAUUUAUCUCUGACUGCUCUUAAAAUUCUCUCUUUACCUUUGGUUUUGGCAAGUUUGGUUAUAAUAUAUCUUGGUGACUUUCUUUUAAAAUCUACCUUAUGUGGAGUUUGAUAAGCAUCUUGGAUUGAUAUCUCCUCAUCUUUCACGAUAUCAGGGAAGUUUUCUGCCAACAAAUCUUUAACAAUUCUCUCUGUAUUUUCUGCUAUCCCUCCCUGUUCUGGUACUGCAAUCACUUGUAGGUUAUUUCUCUUAUUUCACAUGAUUCUUAAGAUUUCUUUAUUUUGUUAAAUUCUUUUAUCUGAUUUUUUUUCAAAUAUGUUGGUGCCAAGUACUUUAUCCUCACGGUCACCUGUUCUGCCCUCCACUUGCUCGAUUUGGCUCCUCUGGCUUUCUAUUGAUUUGUCUAAUUCUGUAAUUUUAUUGUUAAUCUUCUUAAUUUCUGUUUGCUGUCUCUGUAUGGAUUCUUGCAGCUUAUUAAAUUUUUCAUUAUGUUCUUGAAUAACCUUUUUAAUUUCUUCAGCUGUUUUAUCUGUGUGUUCUUUGGCUUGUUCUGCAUAUUGCCUGAUCUCCUUCCUUAUGUCUUGAAGAGUUCUGUAUAUUAAUCUUUUGAAUUCUGCAUCCAGUAAUUCCAGGAAGGCUCCUUCAUCCAGAAGGUCCUUUGAGUCUCUGUUUUAAGAGUUUGUUGAAGCGAUCAUGGUCUGUUUCUUUACAUGGUUUGAUAUUGACUGUUGUCUCUGAGCCAUCUAUAAGUUAUUAUAUUGGUUUAUUUUAUAUUUGCUUACUGUAUCCUAGUUUCUUGCUUUGUUUUAUUUUGAUAUGUCCAAAUAGGUUGCUUGAGUGAGGUAGAUUGAUUAUUUUCGCCUUUGGAGCACUGACAUCCUGUCACCCGAUGGCUAGAUCUGUUAUCAGGUAUAUGAGCUUAUGAGUCCAUUCACUUUUCUUGUGUGGAUUCAGCUCAGGUGUCCAGGUAUCUGGUCAUCAACUGUGUGGUACAGGCUGUGUCCUACAGUCUUAGAGGGGCAGGGAUGAUUGGUAUAGGUACCAGUAUCUGGUUGCUCUAGGGGGUCAAGCUAUGAACAGGGUAGGGGGUUGAGAACCAUCUCCUGAGUGUCUCUGAGGAAAGCUAACAAAAAAAGCAACUCACUUUAGGGGCCAGUUUAACAACACCCCCUUGUAUUUGCUUUCCUUGUUUUUGCCCUUGCCCUCCCUGGUCUUCCAAUCUUGUUCCCUAGUUAAUUUCCAAAAUAAUUUUCCUGUAAGAAUGGCUUUGUCUCAGGUUCUCUGGGAGAGACACAAUCUAAGCACUUUGUAUUUUCCAUUACUGAGGAAAAAAAAAUCAAACCCAUUGAGGUCGAGUUGAUUUUGACUCAUAACGACCCUAUAGGACAGAGUAGAACUGCCUCCACCAAGGAGCACCUGGUGGAUUUGAACUGCUGACCUUUUGGUUAGCAGCCAUAGCACUUAACCACUACUUCACCAGAGUUUCAACUGAGAAAAUAGCUCAUUGCAAAUAGUUGAAAUUUAAGAACCAGUUUAAAAAAGGAGAGAAGCACAAAAGUACAGCAUCUCUCAGUUGUAUUCCACUGUCUCUAGAACUGUGCAUACACACCUCAGGAAGAUGCACCUUAGGAGAUUGUAUUACUCUGAGUAUUAUUGAAUAGGGGAUUUUUUUUCUUUGUUGUGCUUUAAGUGAAAGUUUACAAAUCAAGUCAGUCUCUCAUACAACUUGUGAUAUACUCCUAGGUGCUCUCCCCCUAAUUAGAUAGCACACUCUUUCUCUGCUCUAUAUUCCCCUUGUCUACUCAGCCAGCUCCUGUCGCCCUCUGCCUCCUCAUUUCACCUCCAUACAGGAGUUGCCUACAUAGUCUCAUGUGUCUGCUUGAGCCAAGAAGCUCACUCCUCACCAGUAUCAUUUUCUAUAUUAUAGUCAAGUCCAAUCCCUGCCUGAAGAGUUGGCUACAGGAAUGGUUCUAGUCUUGGGCUAACAAAGGAUUCAGGGACCAUGACCUCCAGAGUCCCUCUAGUCUCAGUCAGACCAUGAAGUCUGGUCUUUUUACAAGAAUCUGAGAUCUGCAUCCCACUUUUCUCCUGCUCCAUCAGGGAAUCUCUUUUGUGUUCCCUGCCAGUGUAGUCAUGGUUGGUAGCCAGACACCAUCUAGUUCUUCUGAUCUCAGGCUGAUGUAGUCUCUGGUUUAUGUGACCAUUUCUGUCUCGGGCUAACCUUUACCUUAUGUCUUUGGUGUUCUUCAUUUUCCUUUGCUGCAGGUGAGUUGAAACCAAUUGAUGCACCUUAGAUGGCCACUUGCUAGUGUUUAAGACCCCAGAUACCACUCACCAUAGUGGGAUGCAGAAUGUUUUCUUAAUACAUUGUGUUAUGCCAGCUGACCUAGAUGUGCCCUGAAACCAUGGUCCCCAAGCUCCCAUCCCUGCUACUCUGGCCUACAAAGUGUUCAGUUGUAUUUAGGAAACUUCUUUUGUCUGGCUUAGUCCAGUUGUGCUGACCUCUCCUGUAUUGUGUGUUGUCUUUCCCUUCACCAAAAAUAGUUCUUGUCUACUAUCUAAUUAGUGAAUACCCCUCUUCCUCCCUUACCACCCCUGUAACCAUCAGAGAAUAUUUUCUUCUGUGUUUGAACUUUUUCUUGAGUUCUUAUCCUAGUGGUCUCAAACAAUAUUUGUUCUUUUGCAUCUGAUUAAUUUCACUCAGCAAAAUCCCUUCCAGAUUCCUCCAUGUUAUGAGAUGUUUCACAGAUUCAUUGCUGUUCUUAAUUGUGUUCAUUGUUGUUCUUAAAAAUCUUUAGGGAUUUUUAUAAAGGUAAGAUAUUACAAAACUCUUGAGAAGUUCAGGAAGUUAGGAGGCUUUGAAAGAGCAGAGAAAACCCUGAGCAACAGUGCAGGUUAACAGCUCUGAGCAUGCGGGGGGAACCUGGCAAACUAGACUUGUAUAGCUGCUGGCAUGGGAGUGCAAAAGAGAGCUGGUGGAGAAGUCUAUGGACAACUGCUUCCUCAGUGAGGGUGGUGACCUGGGGACAUUGUUGGCUGGCAAGACAAGGAGUUGGGAAGUCGAGGUAUAUGUAGAAUGAGGAAGAGCCAGGACAAGCUGGAAGUCUGGGCACCUUUGGGUCUGUCUUGUCUCAGUUACUCAUGACCGCCUCCAGAGAGUAAAGGCUACUGCUUCCCUUUAACCUUUGAAAUAUCAUGCAGGGAUGGAGAUCCUAGGGAACAGUUCUAGCUUAGCCAAGCGGACACCGUACAAAUCAGAGAGAGUGAAAGAUUUGGAGGAAACAAUUUUGGGACCAGAAUUACUUACUGUGGCACUGUGGAAAAAGAUUAAUAUUAUUACCAUCUGUGAAGAGCAGGUCUUGAAGUCUUUGAGCUUAGCCAUUCCACAGAGAGAACCCUCAGUACUUUCUUGACUUUGAAGAUGUGCCAGAAAAUCAAAUGGAACUGGAGAAAGAACAAUUAAUGUGUCUUGAUGAAUGAUGUGAUUUCAGACUUGUGCUAGGUGGCUCAUUACAACAGAAAAUAGCUCAUUACAAAAAGCAAAUUGCUCUGUAGCCAAGACACUGGCCUUAAUGGACUCUACCGAUGAGCUUCCUGGGCUUCUUGCUUUUAGGUUGAUGUGGGUCAGUGGAGAAAAAUGGAAGGAGAUCAGAAGGAGGAGAAUGAGCUGGCCCUUUCCAUCCAACUGUGCAUCUCUAGGUUCUGGUGUACUUAGGAACGAGGAAAAGCAAGACAUGGUAUUUUCACAUGAUACUUCCAUAGAAAGGCUCAUGACAACUCAUUUUAGUAAUAAAUUUGACCUUGAAAUGUCCAUCCAUUUACCUUUUGGUCUUUAGAUAAAUCAAAGCCAGUUGUACUCAUCUAGAGUUCAGUGGUGGGCUGAAAUUUCUUGAAAUCUGAUUGCAAAAUUUCCAGGGAGGAAUUUUGUGAGCCAGUUAACACCAUGUUGGCAGCUUGAAACUGAUUACGCUGGAAACAUUUAUACCGUGGGAAGUGAAAAAU
Long non-coding RNA from Loxodonta africana (African savanna elephant), 4200 nucleotides. RefSeq lists it as uncharacterized. The transcript is spliced from 2 exons. Lineage: Eukaryota; Metazoa; Chordata; Mammalia; Proboscidea; Elephantidae. The record is from RefSeq and is a predicted model, not a curated record.